This 73-nucleotide transfer RNA is filed under the name Metschnikowia bicuspidata. RNAcentral's name for it is "tRNA-Asn". It matches the Rfam family "tRNA". From Rfam's summary of the family: Transfer RNA (tRNA) molecules are approximately 80 nucleotides in length. Their secondary structure includes four short double-helical elements and three loops (D, anti-codon, and T loops). Lineage: Eukaryota; Fungi; Ascomycota; Pichiomycetes; Serinales; Metschnikowiaceae. The record is from RNAcentral.
UGUCCGUAUAGCUUAGUGGUAAAGCAAUGUACUGUUAAUACAUCGACUUUGGUUCAAUUCCAAAUAUAGACGU